Gavialis gangeticus (Gharial) is the source of this 609-nucleotide long non-coding RNA. RefSeq lists it as uncharacterized. The transcript has 4 exons. The record is from RefSeq and is a predicted model, not a curated record. NCBI's taxonomy places the organism in Eukaryota, Metazoa, Chordata, Crocodylia, Gavialidae.
CAGAUCAAGUGUUUUCACAAGCAAGACUGUGAUGUAUAUUACUGACCUGGAGCAGAAACAGAAGUCAUAUAGACCCUUCUGGACAUAGUCUGAUGCAACUGAGACAGGUCAACCCAGACAAUGAUAAAUCUACAUUUUUAAAAGGAGAGACCUGUAGCAAGAAAAAACACCUGGCUAUUCAGUCUGUUCUCAGUGACCGAGCAGCAGAAAGCAGAGGAUGAUUUGGGACUAAAGGAUGUUCCUGAAGGUGUAACAAUACCCCAGGUGUGUCUCUCAAAGGUGCAUCUCACUGAAUCCAGGGUCAAGGCAUCAAGAGCCAGACCUAAAAUUCAUGAAGACUCCCACUGAUUACCAUGGACUUUAAAUCCACUCCUGAUGCUCCUUAAAACAGUAUCAUGAAGAGAUUAAUAAACUAGAAAUGAUGCUAAUGAAAAUGAAUGCAAGUCUCACCAGAGAAGAAGCUUAAGUUUCUUAUCAGAAAAGAAUAACUCACUUUGUAAAAUUGUAGGCCAUGUUUGCUCACACUGUGCCUGUUUGUAUGUAUAUAUAUGUGUGUGUAUAAAUAAUACACAGAAAUAAAUACAUAGAGAUACAGAUAUAAAUUUGUGA